RNAcentral lists this ribosomal RNA (449 nucleotides) under uncultured bacterium. Its description in RNAcentral is "SSU rRNA". It matches the Rfam family "Bacterial small subunit ribosomal RNA", at positions 26 to 518 of the family's 1533-position model. The record is from RNAcentral.
AGAGCGAACGCUGGCGGCAGGCCUAACACAUGCAAGUCGAGCGCCCGUAGCAAUACGGGAGCGGCAGACGGGAUAGUAACACGUGGGAACGCGCCCUUCGGUUCGGAAUAACUCAGGGAAACUUGAGCUAAUACCGGAUACGCCCUUACGGGGAAAGAUUUAUUGCCGAAGGAACGGCCCGCGUCCGAUUAGCUAGUUGGUGAGGUAAUGGCUCACCAAGGCGACGAUCGGUAGCUGGUCUGAGAGGAUGACCAGCAUCACUGGGACUGAGACACGGCCCAGACUCCUACGGGAGGCAGCAGUGGGGAAUAUUGGACAAUGGGCGCAAGCCUGAUCCAGCCAUGCCGCGUGGAUGAUGAAGGCCUUAGGGUUGUAAAGUCCUUUUAACGGGGAAGAUAAUGACGGUACCCGUAGAACUAAGCCCCGGCUAACUUCGCGCCAGCAGCCGC